GACGAACGCUGGCGGCGUGCUUAACACAUGCAAGUCGAACGGAAAGGCCUCUUCGGAGGUACUCGAGUGGCGAACGGGUGAGUAACACGUGGGUGAUCUGCCCUGCACUCUGGGAUAAGCCUGGGAAACUGGGUCUAAUACCGGAUAGGACCAUGCUUUAGUGUGUGUGGUGGAAAGUUUUUUCGGUGUAGGAUGAGCCCGCGGCCUAUCAGCUUGUUGGUGGGGUAAUGGCCUACCAAGGCGGCGACGGGUAGCCGGACUGAGAGGUUGGUCGGCCACAUUGGGACUGAGACACGGCCCAGACUCCUACGGGAGGCAGCAGUGGGGAAUUUUGCACAAUGGGGGAAACCCUGAUGCAGCGACGCCGCGUGAUUUAGAAGGCCUUCGGGUUGUAAAAAUCUUUUGUAUAGGAAGAAAAUGACAGUACUAUACGAAUAAGGUCCGGCUAAUUACGUGCCAGCAGCCGCGGUAAUACGUAAGGACCGAGCGUUGUCCGGAAUCAUUGGGCGUAAAGGGUACGUAGGCGGGUUUUUAAGUUAGAAGUCAAAGGCUAUAGCUCAACUAUAGUAAGCUUCUAAAACUGGGAACCUUGAGUAAUGGAAGGGAAAGUGGAAUUCCUAGUGUAGCGGUGGAAUGCGCAGAUAUUAGGAGGAAUACCGGUGGCGAAGGCGACUUUCUGGCCAUUAACUGACGCUGAGGUACGAAAGCGUGGGUAGCAAACAGGAUUAGAUACCCUGGUAGUCCACGCCGUAAACGAUGAGUGUUAGGUGUCUGGAGUAAAUCUGGGUGCCGCAGCUAACGCAUUAAACACUCCGCCUGGGGAGUACGCACGCAAGUGUGGAACUCAAAGGAAUUGACGGGGACCCGCACAAGCAGCGGAGCAUGUGGUUUAAUUCGAAGCAACGCGAAGAACCUUACCAAGUCUUGACAUAUUUUGGAAGCACUUAGAGAUAAGAGCCUAUAUCUUCGGAUAACUGAAAUACAGGUGGUGCAUGGUUGUCGUCAGCUCGUGUCGUGAGAUGUUGGGUUAAGUCCCAUAACGAGCGCAACCCCUUUUGCUAGUUACCAUCAUUAAGUUGGGGACUCUAGCAAUACUGCCGGUGACAAACCGGAGGAAGGUGGGGAUGACGUCAAAUCAUCAUGCCCUUUAUGACUUGGGCUACACACGUGCUACAAUGGCAGGUACAGAGGGCCGCAAGACAGCGAUGUUAAGCAAAACUCAAAAAGCCUGUCCCAGUUCGGAUUGCACCCUGCAACUCGAGUGCAUGAAGUUGGAGUUGCUAGUAAUCGUGGAUCAGAAUGCCACGGUGAAUGCGUUCCCGGGUCU
Molecule: ribosomal RNA, 1327 nt
Filed under: uncultured bacterium
Lineage: Bacteria
Description: bacterial SSU rRNA
Rfam family: Bacterial small subunit ribosomal RNA
Source: RNAcentral